Molecule: non-coding RNA, 158 nt
Filed under: Microbulbifer rhizosphaerae
Lineage: Bacteria; Pseudomonadati; Pseudomonadota; Gammaproteobacteria; Cellvibrionales; Microbulbiferaceae
Source: RNAcentral
CAAGUCCCACCCGGGCAAGGCUGGUCACCACCCGGAAGCGAGUCUUGGGCUGUCCCGUGGCGACGCGGGCGGUUAAGCGUAGACAGCGAGCCAGUAGGCCGCGGGGAUAGAGCACCGAAAAGACCCUCUUUGUGGCGCAGAGGGCCGGGGUCAGGCCU